Molecule: ribosomal RNA, 497 nt
Filed under: uncultured bacterium
Lineage: Bacteria
Description: partial 16S ribosomal RNA
Rfam family: Bacterial small subunit ribosomal RNA
Source: RNAcentral
GAUGAACGCUGGCGGCGUGCCUAAUACAUGCAAGUCGAGCGAACGGACGAGAAGCUUGCUUCUCUGAUGUUAGCGGCGGACGGGUGAGUAACACGUGGAUAACCUACCUAUAAGACUGGGAUAACUUCGGGAAACCGGAGCUAAUACCGGAUGAUAUUUUGAACCGCAUGGUUCAAAAGUGAAAGACGGUCUUGCUGUCACUUAUAGAUGGAUCCGCGCUGCAUUAGCUAGUUGGUAAGGUAACGGCUUACCAAGGCAACGAUGCAUAGCCGACCUGAGAGGGUGAUCGGCCACACUGGAACUGAGGCACGGUCCAGGCUCCUACGGGAGGCAGCAGUAGGGAAUCUUCCGCAAUGGGCGAAAGCCUGACGGAGCAACGCCGCGUGAGUGAUGAAGGUCUUCGGAUCGUAAAACUCUGUUAUUAGGGAAGAACAUAUGUGUAAGUAACUGUGCACAUCUUGACGGUACCUAAUCAGAAAGCCACGGCUAACUACGUG